GCGCAGCAGGCGCGAAACCUCCGCAAUACACGAAAGUGUGACGGGGCCAUCCCGAGUGCCGUCCGCUGAGGACGGCUUUUCCCCAGUGUACACAGCUGGGGGAAUAAGGAGAGGGCAAGCCUGGUGUCAGCCGCCGCGGUAAUACCAGCUCUCCGAGUGGUGGGGACGCUUAUUGGGCCUAAAGCAUCCGUAGCCGGCUGGGCAAGUCCUCCGUUAAAUCCAACGAUUCAAUCGUUGGGCUGCGGGGGAUACUGUCCAGCUUGGGGGCGGGAGAGGCCGACGGUAUUCCCGGGGUAGGGGUGAAAUCCUAUAAUCCCGGGAGGACCACCAGUGGCGAAGGCUGUCGGCUAGAACGCGCCCGACGGUGAGGGGAUGAAAGCUGGGGGAGCGAACCGGAUUAGAUACCCCUGUAGU
RNAcentral lists this ribosomal RNA (414 nucleotides) under uncultured microorganism. RNAcentral's name for it is "bacterial SSU rRNA". It matches the Rfam family "Archaeal small subunit ribosomal RNA", at positions 330 to 745 of the family's 1478-position model. The record is from RNAcentral.